Jaculus jaculus (lesser Egyptian jerboa) is the source of this 216-nucleotide small nucleolar RNA. Its record names the gene U3. It matches the Rfam family "Small nucleolar RNA U3". From Rfam's summary of the family: Small nucleolar RNAs (snoRNAs) are involved in the processing and modification of rRNA in the nucleolus. The record is from Ensembl. Lineage: Eukaryota; Metazoa; Chordata; Mammalia; Rodentia; Dipodidae.
AAGACUAUACUUUCAAGGAUCAUUUCUAUACUGAUUUACUAGAGAAGUUCCUCUGGCUGUGUAGAGUAACAGAAACCAUGAGGAGGAGGCCUCAGUGUUCUCUCCUGAGAAUGAAGCUGGUGCUGGGUGUUGUUUUGUGCAACUGCCCAUUGCCACUGAUGAUUGUUCUUCUCUCCCUUUCGGAGAGUUAGAGGGAGAGAAUGCAGUCUGAGUGGC